This 326-nucleotide unclassified non-coding RNA is filed under the name Itersonilia sp. RNAcentral describes it as "partial contains 5.8S ribosomal RNA, internal transcribed spacer 2, and large subunit ribosomal RNA". The stretch from base 1 to 52 matches the Rfam family "5.8S ribosomal RNA", at positions 103 to 154 of the family's 154-position model. Lineage: Eukaryota; Fungi; Basidiomycota; Tremellomycetes; Cystofilobasidiales; Mrakiaceae. The record is from RNAcentral.
AACGCAUCUUGCGCUCCUUGGUAUUCCGAGGAGCAUGCCUGUUUGAGUGUCAUUACAACACUUCAACUGCAUCAGUUGUUUUUAAACUGAUGUUGAUUGAGUCAUUGGGGGAUUGAUUUGUAUGCAGGCUGGAUUUUUUUCUUUGAGAAAAAAAAAAGGUCCCUGCUCCCCUGAAAUGAAUUAGCAGUAAUAAUCUGAGCAACUGCGGGUGUGAUAAUUAUCUAUGCCUUUUGAGUGCUCUGCAUGCUCUGCUUCGAAAUAAUGAAGCAAAGUAAAACUUUGACAAGCUUGACCUCAAAUCAGGUAGGAUUACCCGCUGAACUUAA